UACGUAGGGGGCAAGCGUUACUCGGAUUCACUGGGCGUAAAGCGCGUGUAGGCGGCUGGUCAAGCGUGGUGUGAAAUCUCCGGGCUCAACCCGGAAACUGCACCGCGAACUGGCCUGGCUGGAGUGCAGGAGAGGGAAGGGGAAUUCCCGGUGUAGCGGUGAAAUGCGUAGAGAUCGGGAGGAACACCAGUGGCGAAGGCGGCCAUCUGGAUCAACACUGACGCUGAGGCACGAAAGCGUGGGGAGCAAACAGG
RNAcentral lists this ribosomal RNA (254 nucleotides) under uncultured bacterium. RNAcentral describes it as "partial 16S ribosomal RNA". It matches the Rfam family "Bacterial small subunit ribosomal RNA", at positions 524 to 776 of the family's 1533-position model. The record is from RNAcentral.